Benincasa hispida (wax gourd) is the source of this 78-nucleotide small nucleolar RNA. The record is from RefSeq and is a predicted model, not a curated record. NCBI's taxonomy places the organism in Eukaryota, Viridiplantae, Streptophyta, Magnoliopsida, Cucurbitales, Cucurbitaceae.
CCAUAUUAUAAAAACCAAGGGAGCCUAUACCACACUGAUAAGAAAAGGUAGCGAAAGAUCGUCCAAUACCAUCUUGAA